UAGAUUCUACCAACCUCCAAAGAGCCCAUCUCCAGCUCUUAACCAAGGAACCCCUCUGGCAAUUCAGCUUUACUCCUGGGUACAUCCUGUCUGCUCUCUACCUUUCCCCUCUCCCUGCAGGAGAGAACUGGAGCAUGUUACCUGUCCCACUGAGUCCUCUCCGUGGGGCUUUAUGGAGAGCCCUUGCCUAGCCUGGCAGCUCCCGCUCCCCAGUGGUCUCCUUGAUCCAGCCUGUGGGUGUGUGGGGAGAGAGGUUUCCAGCUGAACUGAAAACUGAAGCCCGAAGAAAGGCAGCCGGCCCCACCCAGAGACAGAGACGUGAGACCCAGAGACACAAGAGAGCCGGCCUGUUGGAAUCUUUGGAAG
This 366-nucleotide long non-coding RNA is filed under the name Suricata suricatta (meerkat). RNAcentral describes it as "lncRNA (ENSSSUG00005022882.1)". The record is from RNAcentral. Lineage: Eukaryota; Metazoa; Chordata; Mammalia; Carnivora; Herpestidae.